RNAcentral lists this ribosomal RNA (207 nucleotides) under uncultured bacterium. Its description in RNAcentral is "partial 16S ribosomal RNA". It matches the Rfam family "Bacterial small subunit ribosomal RNA", at positions 568 to 774 of the family's 1533-position model. The record is from RNAcentral.
CGCGUAGGCGGCCUCUUAAGUCAGAUGUGAAAUCCCGGGGCUUAACCCCGGAAGUGCAUUUGAAACUAUUAGGCUUGAGUAUGGGAGAGGGAAGUGGAAUUCCUGGUGUAGAGGUGAAAUUCGUAGAUAUCAGGAGGAACAUCGGUGGCGAAGGCGACUUCCUGGACCAAUACUGGCGCUGAGGCGCGAAGGCGUGGGGAGCAAACA